RNAcentral lists this ribosomal RNA (371 nucleotides) under uncultured organism. Its description in RNAcentral is "partial 16S ribosomal RNA". It matches the Rfam family "Bacterial small subunit ribosomal RNA", at positions 527 to 896 of the family's 1533-position model. The record is from RNAcentral.
GGAAGGUGCAAGCGUUAAUCGGAAUUACUGGGCGUAAAGCGCGCGUAGGCGGUUAGAUAAGUCGGGUGUGAAAGCCCCGGGCUCAACCUGGGAACUGCAUUCGAUACUGUUUGACUAGAGUGUGAUAGAGGGAGGCGGAAUUCCGCAUGUAGCGGUGAAAUGCGUAGGGAUGCGGAGGAACACCAAUGGCGAAGGCAGCCUCCUGGAUUAACACUGACGCUGAGGUGCGAAAGCGUGGGGGAGCAAACAGGAUUAGAUACCCUGGUAGUCCACGCUGUAAACGAUGUCAACUAGCCGUUGGGAGCAAUUUGGCUCUUGGUGGCGCAGCUAACGCGAUAAGUUGACCGCCUGGGAGUACGGUCGCAAGAUUA